CGGCAUCAGACCCCACUGUGGCCACAGGGAGAGCCACGGAGUUCAAACAACAGCUCCAGCACCUCGCCAACCAGGUGAGGUCAAAUGAUCAAUUUGACCUCCUCACGCACACCUUGGGGCCAGGAAUGGUAGAGGUGGUGGUGGAUAUUUUAAAAGUGUGUUGACACACACAUUGAAAAUAUUAACAAUUAGCAAUUUGUUGUUUGUUGUGUUCAUUAAUUAAAUAUCUUCAUGUUCUACA
This is a long non-coding RNA of Pseudoliparis swirei, 241 nucleotides long. RefSeq lists it as uncharacterized. The transcript is spliced from 2 exons. The record is from RefSeq and is a predicted model, not a curated record. NCBI's taxonomy places the organism in Eukaryota, Metazoa, Chordata, Actinopteri, Perciformes, Liparidae.